CAGAUCUGAGCCGAGUCUGUGACCUACACUGCAGCUCAUGGCAAGGCCGCAUCCUUAAUCUUCUGAGCCAGGCCAGGGAUUGAACCCCUGUCCGCAUGGGUCCUAGUCGGGUUUGUUACCACAGUGCCAUAACAGGAACUCCCCGACCUCAAGUUCUUAACCCACUGAGCCACAAUGGGAACUCCUGCUCAGGUAUUCGUAAGACAGCAGAGCGAGAGGGAGAGGUGGCAGGUGUGAGGGAGAGAGGGGGAGAUAAUUUAUACAGAAUAUGAAAGUUCAGUUUGAUGAGUGUUGACAGUUGAAUGUAUUUGUCUAUCACUGCCCAAAAUAGGAUAUAAAAUAUUUCAAAACCCAGGAAGUUCCCUUUUACCUCUAGUUAGUCUCCUUACCCUUAUUUAGCAAAUAUUUUCUGAUUCUGGUUACCCUGAUUAGAUUUGCCCAUUCUUGAGUAUAAGAUAAAUGGAAUCAUGCAGCAUGCAUUCUUUUUGUGUCUCUUUCACUCAACAUGUUCUUGGGGAUUCAUUCAUGUUUCACAUGUUGUCAAAGAUGAAACACCCUUUGUCACAGGUAAACAAAGCUGGAUACUCAUUAAAGUGGUAAGGUUAGAUUUUAGUCUGUAAUAACGAUUGCAAUGUGGCAAAGAAUCCAGCAUGAACUCAACUCAACUCCAGUUUGUACAGAGGGUGUUUUAAAGGAGAAUGAGGGAGGAAGGAGGGGAAGCAGGGAUUCAUUGGAGUCAGAGAAAAAGCACGGAACGUGGGGAAGAGGGGGUUGGUCCAUGUGAAAGCAUCUGGCUUUGCUAACUGGGGGACAGGGUGUUACCUGGAGCAAAGAGUAAGUUCUUUUGACAGCCUGGAGUUUUCUCAAGGAAGCAAGCCCUCUAAGGGGAACUGGAGUCAUCCUGGUGAUGUGGCCUUGAGCUGUUCGCACCUGAGUUCAAGUUUGCUCAGGCCUUUAUGUUCUUUUUUUUUUUUUUUGGUCUUUUUGCCUUUUCUGGGGCCAAUCCCGUGGCAUAUGGAGAUUCCCAGUCUAGGGGUCUAAUUGGAGCUGUAGCCACUGGCCUAUGCCAGAGCCACAGCAAUGCAGAAUCCGAGCUGCAUCUGCAACCUACACCACAGCUCAUGGCAAUGCCAGAUCCUUAACCCACUGAGCAAGGCCAGGAAUUGAACCUGCAACCUCAUGGUUUCUAGUCGGAUUCGUUAACCACUGUGCCGCAGUGGGAACUCCAGGCCUUUAUAUUCUAAGCCCAGGUGGAGGUCUAGUCGAGGAGCAGCUCAGAGGAGGCAGGUGACAGGUUGGUCAAGGAGAGAAUCAUGGUCAGUGUCAAAUCAUGUGCUCCUUUUUGUGUUGUUGUGUGAAUAUAACACGAUUUGUUCUGUUCACCUGGUGGUACAGAUUUGAGUUGGAUCUGUGUUUGACCAUCAUGAACAGGCUGCAGGGAACACUGUUGUAGCAGUCUGAAAUGUCUCUUGGAUAGCUAUCUAGGAGUGGAAUUGCUUAGUCAUAUGUGGGUAUGUAUUUAACUGCCAGAUGAAUUUCCACAGUGGUUUAUCAGUUUGCACUUCUCACUCGCCAUGUAUCCAAACUGCAGUGGCUCCAUAUCCUUGUUAAACAUUCAUUGUUGUUAGUGGAUGUGAACUAGCGUCUCAUUUUCAUCUUAAAUGAUACUCCCCUGGUGACAAAUGCGUACUUCUCAGGUGCUUAUUGGCCAUUUCUGCAACUUCUUUUGUGAAUGGUCUGUUGGAGUCCUUUGCCCAUUGUUGCUGCUGGUGAUCACGUUGGUUCCACCUUAUUAGAGGUCAUGAUACAUUCUGGAUAGGACUCCUUUGUCAGACACCUGUGUUGUGAAUAGAUAUGCAUGCACAGGAAAAUGAGAACUUAAAAUAUCAUUUACAAUAUAGCAUUACAAAAGACCAGCUGUUUAAGUCCCAGUCAAAACUCUAGCCAUCUUUUCUUUUUCUGUAAGAAAUUAGCAAAUUGAAUCUAAAUGUGUGUGGAAAUGCAAAGAAUCUGGACUAGCCAAAUAAAAUAUCUUCAAAAGAAGAGGGACUUAGGGGAAUUUACACGCUUCUACUAAUUGUAAAGCUACAGUUAAGCUACUGGGAUUUUAGGAUAUGAAUGAGUCCCAGCUCCUUGUUUAAAAGCACUAUUUCAGACCAGGGAGCAGGUGUGCUCUGUUCUCCUUGGACAGUCUGGGCUUGUAGUGAAUUUUGUCCCUUAGCGAGUCCUUUGUGUGUUGCUGUGUUGAGUUGCUGCCUUGAGCAGCUUCACUUGCAUGCUUCCUCCUGGGUGUGUAUGGAUGUGCAAGCAUGGAUGCGAGAGGCUGGGGUGGGGAGGGGUUGACAUGUUUGUACCAAAUUCAGCACCUCUUGCAGUCAAGGCAGCAGGAAGCCUUGUUGCUGGAUGUGAAGAAAAGGAAGGAUGUGAUAUGUGCAUCGAGGAGCUGACAACCUAAUGGGUGACAUCCAGCAUAUCCCCCCCUCCUGCCCCACAUCUUCAGUUUGGACUUACUUAGCAAACAAUGUGGAAGUGGUUGUGUUAUUAGGAUAUCACUUAGGAUGCUUUAAGCUGCAAGUAACAGAAGCCCGACUCAAUUUGGCUUAAGUUGUAAAGACCUAUAUCAUCUCACUGGUACCUCACUCAUAUUCCUAGGGACGUAGAGAAGGCUCCAGGCCAUGGGGCAUGAUGGAGCCUUAGGGAUCCAGGUUCCUUCUAUGACUUGUCAUUUGUCCUCAGGCUGGUUCCACUCAUGGUGGCAGGAGACUUUCAGGGGUCAGCUGGGCUUCAGCUCCCCAAGUUGGAACACUCUCGCUUUAAAUCCUGGUAGUGUAGGUGAGGAUAGAGUUUUGGCUUCCUUAGCAUUUCCCAAGUUGUAGCUGUUUUGUGUAUGUGUUCCUGGUUUCCCUCCUUAGACCUGACUAAGGGACAGGAAAUGACAGGUGUAUAUGAAUCCAGAGAAAUUCCUUGGUAGUUAUUAGUGAUGUGGGCCCACUAUUUUGGGAUCUCCUUUCCCCUGGACCCAACUCUCUUGGUGGAUGAAAUGGCUCUGAUCAGCUCUGGCCAGUGAGUUUGCUGACUGAAUACAUGGUUGCAGGUCUUCUGAAUGGUAUAGGACAUGGGGUUACUUGAUGUUCCGGCCUGGGAAUGGAAUGUGUGAUCUGAGGGAAGAGUGAGCAUGGUGGGCACUGUGAUGGGCAGCGUCUGGGAAUAGAAAGGUGGAUGGAGAAGCCUGUUUAUGCUGGUGCUGGGUCACUAGAUGGGACUUGGCCUUUGAGGUCAAUACAUUAUUUCUUGUGGCUCCUUUACUUGGGUCCUGGGAACUUGGCCAUGGAACCUGGCCUGACUUACUCUCCUCACCUGUUUCCUUUUCCAUUGCUUCCAGAUGUGCAGUGAGCAGUGGCUACUGGCAGGACCCUUGCAUCCCGCAUUUGGUGAGACUGUCUAAAGAGAGGAAGGCCCCCAAAUUAACAGAGGCAACUCCUAGGGAUUCAUUCUAAAAAAGAGAGUGCUUUUGUGCACACUUUCCAACUUCCUCACCAGCACAGUAUCUUAGGAAAUUUUAUUUUUUGGCCAUACCUGGGCCCCUCUGUCUUAUGAAACGUAAUCUUUGUUCAUCUGAUAUAUGAUACAUGUGCACUCUUUUUAUUUUCUAUUUCUCUUGGGGUGACGUUGAAAAUGAUUUUUAUAUGCUUAGAAGCCAUUGAUCUGUCUUUUACUCUGAACUGUCCACAUUAGGGAUUAUUGCUGUUGUUGUUGCCCUGUUAAAAUGUUCAUAACACUCUUAGGUUCUGCAAGUAAUUUCUUUCUUUUUCCUUUUCUAGGGCCAUACCUGCCAUAUGGGAGUUCCUGGCUAGGGGUCAAAUCAGAGCUGUAGCUGCCAGCCUAUACCCCAGCCACAGCUAUGCCGGAUCUGAGCCUUGUUUGCAGUAUACCCUGCAGCUCUCAGCAGUGCCAGAUCCUUAACCCACUGAGUGUGGCCAGGAAUCCAAUCUGCAUCCUCAUGGAUCCUAGUCAGUUUCUUAACCUGCUGAGCCACAACAGGAACUCCUCAGCAAGUAAUUUUCAUCAAUGAAAUGGAAGGAUUUGAGACAGGAGUGUGGCUUCAUUUCAGCCAUAUUGGGAAACUGAAUGGUCCAGAGGCAGGGACCCUCCAUGGCCAGUGGCUCAGUGCCCCCUUCCUUCUUCCUCUCCUGGGUUUGCAUCUGGAGAUUGGGCACCUGCAGCCCAGCAGGAGAGGGCUUCCCAAACGUCUCCCCUGAGGACAUAUUCUUGUCCCCAGAGGGAAUCCACUGUGGAUGAGGUUCUGUAAAAUACAGUGAGAGAUGCUUUGCAGAGUUCCCAUUGUGGCUCAGUGGAUUAAGGACCUGAUGUAGACUCUAGGAGGAUGUGGGUUCAGUCCCUGGCCUCACUCAGUGGGUUAUGGAUUGGGUAUUGCCCACAGCUGGAGUGUAGGUCACACAUGUGUCAGGGUUGCAGUGUGGCAGUGGCUGUGGCAUAGGUUGGCAGCUUCAUCUCUGAUUUGAUCCCUAGCCUGGGAAC
This 4539-nucleotide long non-coding RNA is filed under the name Sus scrofa (pig). Its description in RNAcentral is "lncRNA (ENSSSCG00000061398.1)". The record is from RNAcentral. Lineage: Eukaryota; Metazoa; Chordata; Mammalia; Artiodactyla; Suidae.